This 440-nucleotide ribosomal RNA is filed under the name uncultured bacterium. RNAcentral's name for it is "partial 16S ribosomal RNA". It matches the Rfam family "Bacterial small subunit ribosomal RNA", at positions 338 to 795 of the family's 1533-position model. The record is from RNAcentral.
CCUACGGGAGGCAGCAGUGGGGGAUAUUGCACAAUGGGGGAAACCCUGAUGCAGCGACGCCGCGUGUGGGAAUACGGUCCUCUGGAUUGUAAACCACUGUCCCCAGGGACCAAAAUGACAGUACCUUGGGAUUAAGCUCCGUCCAACUACGUGCCAGCUGACGCGGUAAUACUUAGGGAGCGAGCGUUCUCCGGAAGUACUGGGUUGAAAGGGUGCGUAGGCGGAAUAGCAAGUCAGAGGUAAAAAUUCGGGGAUAAACUACGUCGUGACGUUGAAACUGAUGUUCUUGAGUGGGCGAGAAGUAUGCGGAAUGCGUGGUGUAGCGGUGAUAUGCAUAGAUAUCACGCAGAACUCCGAUUGCGAAGGCAGCAGACCGGCGCCCAACUGACGCUGAAGCACGAAAGCGUGGGUAUCGAACAGGAGUAGAUACCCUAGUAGUC